GGAAAAAGGAAGAAAAAUAGCAAACAGAUGGGAAGGAGAAUAAGAGAUUCUCCUUUUCAUCAGUUCUUACUUUGGUAAAAAUUACUUCACAAUAAAAUAUAUUUACUUUAUAUUAUUUAUAUGUAUUAUUUUGUACAAAUGAUUUUCAACUUUAACUGCACAUCAGAAUUUUCUCCAAGAGCUUUAAAAAAUAUAUAUUGUUGCCUACGAGUCACCUCCAAAGAUUUUGAUUUAAUCAACAAUCAGCAUUGUUGGAUUCUGCAAGACUUCCCCGAUGUGUGCUUUAUAGCACCUCAAGCACAGGCAAAACUCUUUCUACCCAUACGGUGCAAAUGUAUAAAGAUUCUCCAAAUUCUUCCACACAGGAUUUUGUCCACUUGUUCUCUGACAAUGCAUUUCCCCAUUUAGUCCAUUUGGGCUCUGGUUAAAAAAAAUAGGCACGUACCACUGCACCCAGCAUCCAUUAGCUACCAAUUAUCUAAGCUCCAUGAGGAAAGAGACUUGUUUGUUCUCCAUUGAUUGAUUUCCAAUUCAUGGACUAGGAAGAGCCUGACAAACAUUAGAUCUUCAAUAACUAUUUGCUAAAUGAAUGAGUGCUAAGUUGUUUAUUCUACAUGGGCAUAGAAAAAGAAAAAGUAAGAUUUGACAAGAAACAAGAGUUAAAACAAGAAGGGAAAUAAACUCCUUAAAACUAGAAAAAGUUUUGUGACAUAUAUGAACUCAUGGAAGAUUUAUGUACUAAUCUCAAAAAAAUCUACGUUUUCUAUAAUCUUUCUAGCUUAAUUCAGAAGUUGGGCAGAAUAAAAAUUUUAAAAUGUAAGUCUAGCACCCAGGAUGUGGGGACCUUUGUACUAUUUCACAUGAAAAGAACUUAUUCUAAUUCAGGGAGUUGGAGAUGGCUAGAAAACUCUAGAUUUCAGGCAUGGGAAGGAAGGGACCAUGGAGAUGAGAUAUAUUUCAGAAAUAUACUGAAAGAAAUAUACAAGCCAACUGAGAAAAAACACUUCAUUGAUAGUUUAGCAGUAAACAACAAAAAAAAUGAAAAAACAAAAAAAUGAAUCAGUCAGGAGUUAGUCAUUAACACUUGAGUUCACUGAAGAAGAAACUCAGUAUGAAGGAUGCAAUAUAAGUUCAUUAUUGUUUGGAUAUGAGAUAUCCCCCCAAAAGUUCCUGUGUUAAUUCAGGAAUAUUCAGAGGUAAAAUAAUAAUGAGGGCUGUAACCUAAUCAGUUCAUCUUAGUUUUAAUGGACUGAUGAGGUAGUAACUGUAGGGAAGUAGAUUGUGGCUAGUGGAGGUGGAUCACUGUGGGUGUGCUCUGGAAGGGUUCAUCUUCUUUGCAGCACUUUUCUUGUCUUCUCCUCCUCCUUCUCCUUUUCCCCCCUUUUCUUCUUCUCCUCCCACCCCUGCUUCCCAACUACCAUAAACAGUGGGGUGUUACUCUGACACGCCCUUCCACCAUGAUGCUCUGUCUUACCUUGGACCCAGAGCAAUGGAGUCAACCAACCAUAGACUAAACCUCUGAAACUGGGAGCCCCAAAUAAACUUUUCCUCCUUUAAGUUCUUUAAGUUGUUCUUGUCAGAUAUUUUGAUCACAGUAACAAAGUCAACACAAAAUAUAAAAAUCACAUGCUAUAUACUAUGAGUGAAAUUCAAAGUCCAAGUUAAUAACCAUACUUUUUAUAAUCUUUAUAACUACAGAUUAUUUUCACCUCCUUUGUUGAACUGCCUAUAUAUGCUUCAUUUUUUAAAUUGGAGUGUUACACAUGUUAGAGGAAGUGUUAUUGUAUGUAUCUGCUUUAGUGACAAUACAAAAUAACUAGUCUAAACUUAUAAUGAUGAAUGUAAUUAAAAUAAGAAAAUUCAUGAACAUUGAUUUCGUGAUUUACCAGAAUAAAGAAUGGCAUUUCCUCCAAGGAAUAUUGAAAAAGUACAUUCAGAAAUGCACUUUGUCUUAAUUCACACAAAACUUUGACCUCUCCUGUGAUAUCUUCCUGCAACUGUGUAUAUGUGUGUGUGUGUGUGUGUAUUAAAGUUAUGAAAUUAGAUUUGUUGUACAAGAAGACAGAAAAGGUUGACUGUUUCUCAAAUGCAUCAACCAAAUUUUUCAGAUCCAUUUGUUCUUGUGAAAAUUGGUCACAGGGUCUGGAAUAGGAUAUAAAUUACUCUAGACAACAUCCAGUGUCUGGAGUAAGAGAAUUGGGAAUGACUAUGUGAUGAUGCAAACACCCCUGAAAGCCUGACCUGGCCUCAAAGGAGACAGGAUCUAGUCACAGUUUUGCUAGAAGCCACCUACCAAGAGAAAGCAGAUAAACCAUCUGAGACAUUAAGGAAAUCCAUAUGCCUUGGUGUUUGUUUGUUUGUUUGUUUGUUUUGGUAACAGGGAUUGAACCCAGGAGCACUUAACCACUGAGUCACAUCCCUAGCCCUUCUUACAGAGUUUCACUAAGUGCCUUAGGGCCUCACUAAGUUUCCAAUUUUGGCUUUGAACUUGUGAUCCUUCUGCCUCAACCUCCCAACCUUGAUGGGAUUACAGGCAAUCACCACCAUGCCUCAUUCCAUAGGCCUUGUUCUUAAAGACCAAUAUGGAUGUAGGUUUUUAAUCUGCUGUAUACAUUCAGAAGACCCCCAAAAAAAAAAAAAAGCAUACCUUGGUGUACCUGAUUUCUGUUUAUCAGAUACCUUCAGAACUAGGCCUAGAGACCAGAGAUAAGUCAAUUUAUGCAGUAGAAACAUAUUAUUUUUUCCUCUUCUACCAGUUACCUAGCUGGAUGAAUGGAAAUGAACAAUCAUUACACCCAGAUUCUUAAAAUGAACAUUUAUUUAGCAGGAGAGAGAAGGGCAAUCAGUAAGAACCAGUGAUAAUUUCCAUCUCUCCCUAACAGUUUGAACCCCAUGGUGAGCUCUCAUCAUGUCAGUCUUUCUUCUCCAGAGUGCAUGGGCCUGGCAAUGCAUGAGUUGAGAGAGGUUCUUCUUUGACUGUGGCUUGGCUGCUGCUGAGUCACCUGAAGGGCCUUAAUGUGGGGAUAGUAGAAGUGUAGCACUUGAUCUCACUUGCCAUUCACUUACACACAUGUC
Molecule: long non-coding RNA, 3075 nt
Filed under: Marmota monax (woodchuck)
Lineage: Eukaryota; Metazoa; Chordata; Mammalia; Rodentia; Sciuridae
Source: RNAcentral